RNAcentral lists this ribosomal RNA (253 nucleotides) under uncultured bacterium. RNAcentral's name for it is "partial 16S ribosomal RNA". It matches the Rfam family "Bacterial small subunit ribosomal RNA", at positions 524 to 776 of the family's 1533-position model. The record is from RNAcentral.
UACGUAGGGUGCGAGCGUUAAUCGGAAUUACUGGGCGUAAAGCGUGCGUAGGUGGUUUGUUAAGUCUGAUGUGAAAGCCCUGGGCUCAACCUGGGAAUUGCAUUGGAUACUGGCAGGCUGGAGUGCGGUAGAGGGUAGUGGAAUUCCCGGUGUAGCAGUGAAAUGCGUAGAUAUCGGGAGGAACACCAGUGGCGAAGGCGACUACCUGGACCAGCACUGACACUGAGGCACGAAAGCGUGGGGAGCAAACAGG